RNAcentral lists this ribosomal RNA (510 nucleotides) under uncultured bacterium. RNAcentral's name for it is "partial 16S ribosomal RNA". It matches the Rfam family "Bacterial small subunit ribosomal RNA", at positions 28 to 507 of the family's 1533-position model. The record is from RNAcentral.
GACGAACGCUGGCGGCGUGCUUAACACAUGCCAGUCGAACGAAGAGCGUUGGAAGCUUGCUUCUAUCAAUCUUAGUGGCGAACGGGUGAGUAACGCGUAAUCAACCUGCCCUUCAGAGGGGGACAACAGUUGGAAACGACUGCUAAUACCGCAUACGAUCUAACCUCGGCAUCGAGGAUAGAUGAAAGGUGGCCUCUACAUGUAAGCUAUCACUGAAGGAGGGGAUUGCGUCUGAUUAGCUAGUUGGAGGGGUAACGGCCCACCAAGGCGAUGAUCAGUAGCCGGUCUGAGAGGAUGAACGGCCACAUUGGGACUGAGACACGGCCCAGACUCCUACGGGAGGCAGCAGUGGGGAAUCUUCCGCAAUGGACGAAAGUCUGACGGAGCAACGCCGCGUGAGUGAUGACGGCCUUCGGGUUGUAAAGCUCUGUUAAUCGGGACGAAAGGCCUUCUUGCGAAUAGUGAGAAGGAUUGACGGUACCGGAAUAGAAAGCCACGGCUAACUACGUG